UACGGAGGGGGCCAGCGUUGUUCGGAAUUAUUGGGCGUAAAGGGCGCGUAGGCGGCCGGGUAAGUCUGACGUGAAAUCCCUUGGCUCAACCAAGGAAUUGCGUCUUAAACUGCUCGGCUUGAGUCCGGGAGAGGGUAGUGGAAUUCCCAGUGUAGCGGUGAAAUGCGUAGAUAUUGGGAGGAACACCGGUGGCGAAGGCGGCUACCUGGACCGGUACUGACGCUGAGGCGCGAAAGCUAGGGGAGCAAACAGG
RNAcentral lists this ribosomal RNA (253 nucleotides) under uncultured bacterium. RNAcentral describes it as "partial 16S ribosomal RNA". It matches the Rfam family "Bacterial small subunit ribosomal RNA", at positions 524 to 776 of the family's 1533-position model. The record is from RNAcentral.